RNAcentral lists this ribosomal RNA (495 nucleotides) under uncultured bacterium. RNAcentral's name for it is "partial 16S ribosomal RNA". It matches the Rfam family "Bacterial small subunit ribosomal RNA", at positions 28 to 507 of the family's 1533-position model. The record is from RNAcentral.
GACGAACGCUGGCGGCGUGCCUAAUACAUGCAAGUAGAACGCUGAAGGAGGAGCUUGCUUCUCUGGAUGGGUUGCGAACGGGUGAGUAACGCGUAGGUAACCUGCCUGGUAGCGGGGGAUAACUAUUGGAAACGAUAGCUAAUACCGCAUAACAGUCGAUAUCGCAUGAUAUCUACUUGAAAGGUGCAAUUGCCUCACUACCAGAUGGACCUGCGUUGUAUUAGCUAGUUGGUGAGGUAACGGCUCACCAAGGCGACGAUACAUAGCCGACCUGAGAGGGUGAUCGGCCACACUGGGACUGAGACACGGCCCAGACUCCUACGGGAGGCAGCAGUAGGGAAUCUUCGGCAAUGGACGGAAGUCUGACCGAGCAACGCCGCGUGAGUGAAGAAGGGUGUCGGAUCGUAAAGCUCUGUUGUAAGAGAAGAACGAGUGUGAGAGUGGAAAGUUCACACUGUGACGGUAUCUUACCAGAAAGGGACGGCUAACUACGUG